Non-coding RNA from Macaca mulatta (Rhesus monkey), 193 nucleotides. NCBI's taxonomy places the organism in Eukaryota, Metazoa, Chordata, Mammalia, Primates, Cercopithecidae. The record is from RefSeq and is a predicted model, not a curated record.
UCAAGCUGGCAGGUAUUAUAUAUCCACACCUGAGAGCCGGUCUGCUUAGAAUCCUGAUGAGCAUGUAUGGAGUUCCAGCUGCCUCGCACCCUGACUAGCACAUGGAACAGUGAGAAUCCCCCUGGAGUUCCACAGCACCUUCUGCAAACCGAGCUUCAUCCCAGGGAAGAGGAGUGAGGGAUGGGGGCCGGGC